UCCGCCAGGGUUCUACAAGCGCCAGCUUAAAACCCAAAGGACUUGACGGUGUCUCAGACCCACCUAGAGGAGCCUGUUCUAGAACCGAUAACCCCCGUUAAACCUCACCACCCCUUGUUAUUUUCCGCCUAUAUACCGCCGUCGUAAGCUUACCCUGUGAAGGCCCCAUAGUAAGCAAAAUGAAUACAACUCAACACGUCAGGUCGAGGUGUAGCUUAUGAGGUGGGAAGAAAUGGGCUACAUUUUCUAUAUUAGAAAAAUACGAACGAUACUAUGAAAACCUAGUAUCCAAAGGUGGAUUUAGAAGUAAAAA
RNAcentral lists this ribosomal RNA (313 nucleotides) under Gasteropelecus sp. RNAcentral's name for it is "partial small subunit ribosomal RNA". It matches the Rfam family "Bacterial small subunit ribosomal RNA", at positions 868 to 1344 of the family's 1533-position model. Lineage: Eukaryota; Metazoa; Chordata; Actinopteri; Characiformes; Gasteropelecidae. The record is from RNAcentral.